CCCGGUUUCUCCUUCGGAAAGAUGUCGGACACGGCAGUAGCUGACACUCGGCGCCUUAACUCGAAGCCGCAGGACCUGACCGACGCUUACGGGCCGCCAAGUAACUUCCUGGAGAUCGACAUCUUUAAUCCACAGACGGUGGGCGUGGGCCGGGCGCGCUUCACCACCUAUGAGGUUCGCAUGCGGACUAGAGGGCCAGAAUAUUCUCUAUGGACAGCAUGCUGCUCAAACAGCAUUUGAAGACCUAAAAGAGUACAAAUCUACCUAUCUUCAAGCUGAAGGAGUCCUGUGUACGGCGGCGCUACAGUGACUUUGAGUGGCUAAAAAAUGAGCUGGAGCGAGAUAGUAAGAUUGUAGUACCACCACUACCUGGGAAAGCCUUAAAGCGGCAGCUCCCUUUUCGAGGAGACGAAGGGAUCUUUGAGGAGUCCUUUAUUGAAGAAAGGAGGCAGGGCCUCGAACAGUUUAUUAACAAAAUUGCUGGGCACCCACUGGCUCAGAACGAACGCUGCCUACACAUGUUCCUGCAGGAGGAGGCAAUUGAUAGGAACUACGUCCCCGGGAAGGUGCGCCAGUAGGAGCCCCUCUCACCACUUGCCCUCUACUUUCCUGCUGAAAUGACAUUGGUUUUUACACUAAGCCUCUCUCUCUCUUUGAUCUGAAGUUGGCUGCCCGUCCCCUGGCCUGAUAAGACUGUCUGGCAUUGUGUUCCUUGGUACCUACCAUACCAUGGGCACUCUGCUAGGAUCCUCUUCUCUGAGGAGAGGUGGGAAACCACACAGGCAGAUGCCCUUUGCUUGGGGUUGGGGGGUGGGUGGGGGGAUUGGACUGGAAGGCAAUUUCUUGGGCAUUUACCCAUGCCAGAAGGCUGACCUUGUGGGGGGCGUGUCUUGUGCUGGUGAGGCACUUGGAUACAUACUGAUGCUGCAAGUCCAGGGGAUUUUUCUUACUCUUAGGUUUAACCAGGAACGCCGAGCAGGGAAACAUCCUGCCUUUCCUACCUGCAUGAACUUUUUCCUUUUGGGGAAGGUGGCAGAGACUCAAAAGCUCUCCUUGUUUUCUCCAGGCCUGAUCCUAGUUAUCGCAACAGUUUCCUUUGUUAUUUUCUCUCUCCCUGUUGCUUUUCAUGGUAGUAGUGGUAGAGUCAAAGCAGUCAUUUGUGUGGCGCAAUGUGUUUGGGUUUUCUGGGCCCAUCAUGGCUGCUUCAGAGUCAGAAGAAAGCCAUAGGGCAGUAGGGGAGCUCCUGUUGCCUAGCCCCUCUCCUUUGUGGCUCCCCACUCUGGCUGCCUGUUCUUGCUCACCAGUAGGCGAGUCAUUACCAUAGGCUGAGUCAGCAGUUCUCCCUCCCCAAGCCCUUGCUACUUUAUGGGUUAGCUUUGCAGGUUUGGUGGCUUUAGGGCUGGGGGAAACUCACCACUGCCAGGUAACUCCCUGAGGGGUUGGAGUGGAUCAUUUUCCAGGUACCUCCUGGUGGUAGGGAAGGGCAUCAUCACUCUCUUCCUUCCAUUCUCCCUUUCCCCCAUUCCAUUUAGUGCUGCCACAGGGCAGAAACACAUGAACAAACCACACAGUCUGAUUUCUCCUAAGCACUUUGAGCUGUUGAAUGGGGCUUAGGGGCAAGAGUUGUCACUGCCCUCCCCAGCUUGGUCACAGGGUUAUUGAACUGCCUGCACUUGUUUCCCACGGAACUCCAGCAUUCUUCCCAGAAGUUGAGCUAGGGUUUGCAAGCUGGGUAUAGAUUUCUAAAUCUUAGAGUCUGAAGCAAUUUAUCAGGGCUGACGACUUUCCUGGGCUUCUGUCUGGGAGGUAGUGGUUUGUUUGCUGGGGCCCAAUAUCUAUCCCAAAUGGUGGCACGGGAGUAGGUUAACUCUGGUGUCAGGUCAAAAGUGGGGGCUCUUUCCUUAGAAUCCCUAUCAUGGAAGGAUUGGAGUUCUUUAUAUAGGGUCUUGGGGGAAAAGGAUUACUGAUUCUGACAAGACCCUGAUCGGAGAGAUUAGGAUUGAAUUUUGACAUGGGAUUCAGAGGCCAUCUAAAUGUUGAAGUUCCCUGAGGCAGGUCAGCUUUCUAGCUGCUGGGCCUGUGCCAGGGGCUGAACAGCCCCUUGAGAAAGGCUCUGCUCCCUUUCCCACCUCCCCAAUGUUGGUGUUGUUGCUGCCUUUUUCAUUUGUAUCCUGUUACUUUUUUUUUUUUUUAAAGAUUCCUUCUUUCAUUGUGCACAAGUGCUGAGAGCCUGAGGCCCCAUUUCUGCUGUGUAUAUAUCCUGACUUGGGGCUUUUAUUCAGCAAAAUGUUCAUUCUUCUGUCAGACAAUGUCAUAUUCAACUCUGUUCAUAUUAAACCACUGUGAAGCAA
RNAcentral lists this long non-coding RNA (2351 nucleotides) under Sus scrofa (pig). RNAcentral describes it as "lncRNA (ENSSSCG00035014576.1)". The record is from RNAcentral. Lineage: Eukaryota; Metazoa; Chordata; Mammalia; Artiodactyla; Suidae.